GGCAAGGGGAAUCCGACUCUUUAAUUAAAACAAAUAUUAUAAUGGUCAUCGCGUAUUUUGACACAAUGAGAUUUCUGCUUAGUGCUUUGAAUGUCAAAGUGAAAUAGCUAUUACUCUCUUAUGGUAGACAAAUGCCUCACCAUCUAAUUAGUGGCGCGCAUGGAUCGAGAGAGCUCCU
Molecule: ribosomal RNA, 178 nt
Filed under: Triticum dicoccoides
Lineage: Eukaryota; Viridiplantae; Streptophyta; Magnoliopsida; Poales; Poaceae
Description: rRNA LSU_rRNA_eukarya
Rfam family: Eukaryotic large subunit ribosomal RNA
Source: RNAcentral